Molecule: ribosomal RNA, 561 nt
Filed under: uncultured bacterium
Lineage: Bacteria
Description: bacterial SSU rRNA
Rfam family: Bacterial small subunit ribosomal RNA
Source: RNAcentral
CCUACGGGAGGCAGCAGUGGGGAAUAUUGGACAAUGGGCGCAAGCCCGAUCCAGCAAUGCCGCGUGAGUGAUGAAGGCCUUAGGGUCGUAAAGCUCUUUUACCAGGGAUGAUAAUGACAGUACCUGGAGAAUAAGCUCCGGCUAACUCCGUGCCAGCAGCCGCGGUAAUACGGAGGGAGCUAGCGUUGUUCGGAAUUACUGGGCGUAAAGCGUACGUAGGCGGUUAUUCAAGUCAGAGGUGAAAGCCCGGGGCUCAACCCCGGAACGGCCUUUGAAACUAGGUAGCUAGAAUCUUGGAGAGGUCAGUGGAAUUCCGAGUGUAGAGGUGAAAUUCGUAGAUAUUCGGAAGAACACCAGUGGCGAAGGCGACUGACUGGACAAGUAUUGACGCUGAGGUACGAAAGCGUGGGGAGCAAACAGGAUUAGAUACCCUGGUAGUCCACGCCGUAAACGAUGAUAACUAGCUGUCCGGGCACUUGGUGCCUGGGUGGCGCAGCUAACGCAUUAAGUUAUCCGCCUGGGGAGUACGGUCGCAAGAUUAAAACUUAAAUGAAUUGACGG